GAUGAACGCUGGCGGCGUGCCUAACACAUGCAAGUCGAGCGAUUUACUUCGGUAAAGAGCGGCGGACGGGUGAGUAACGCGUGGGUAACCUGCCCUGUACACACGGAUAACAUACCGAAAGGUAUGCUAAUACGAGAUAAUAUGCUUUUAUCGCAUGGUAGAAGUAUCAAAGCUUUUGCGGUACAGGAUGGACCCGCGUCUGAUUAGCUAGUUGGUAAGGUAACGGCUUACCAAGGCGACGAUCAGUAGCCGACCUGAGAGGGUGAUCGGCCACAUGGGAACUGAUACACGGUCCAAACUCCUACGGGAGGCAGCAGUGGGGAAUAUUGCACAAUGGGCGAAAGCCUGAUGCAGCAACGCCGCGUGAGCGAUGAAGGCCUUCGGGUCGUAAAGCUCUGUCCUCAAGGAAGAUAAUGACGGUACUUGAGGAGGAAGCCCCGGCUAACUACGUGCCAGCCGCCGCCGUAA
This 468-nucleotide ribosomal RNA is filed under the name uncultured bacterium. Its description in RNAcentral is "partial 16S ribosomal RNA". It matches the Rfam family "Bacterial small subunit ribosomal RNA", at positions 28 to 523 of the family's 1533-position model. The record is from RNAcentral.